RNAcentral lists this ribosomal RNA (460 nucleotides) under uncultured bacterium. RNAcentral describes it as "partial 16S ribosomal RNA". It matches the Rfam family "Bacterial small subunit ribosomal RNA", at positions 338 to 795 of the family's 1533-position model. The record is from RNAcentral.
CCUACGGGAGGCAGCAGUGAGGAAUAUUGGUCAAUGGACGAGAGUCUGAACCAGCCAAGUAGCGUGAAGGAUGACUGCCCUAUGGGUUGUAAACUUCUUUUAUAUGGGAAUAAAAUGUUCCACGUGUGGGAUUUUGUAUGUACCAUAUGAAUAAGGAUCGGCUAACUCCGUGCCAGCAGCCGCGGUAAUACGGAGGAUCCGAGCGUUAUCCGGAUUUAUUGGGGUUAAAGGGAGCGUAGGUGGAUUGUUAAGUCAGUUGUGAAAGUUUGCGGCUCAACCGUAAAAUUGCAGUUGAAACUGGCAGUCUUGAGUACAGUAGAGGUGGGUGGAAUUCGUGGUGUAGCGGUGAAAUGCUUAGAUAUCACGAAGAAUUCCGAUUGCGAAGGCAGUUCACUGGACUGCAACUGACACUGAGGCUCGAAAGUGUGGGUAUCAAACAGGAUUAGAUACCCCAGUAGUC